GACGAACGCUGGCGGCGUGCUUAACACAUGCAAGUCGAACGGAAAGGCCCUGCUUUUGUGGGGUGCCCGAGUGGCGAACGGGUGAGUAACACGUGAGUAACCUGCCCUUGACUUUGGGAUAACUUCAGGAAACUGGGGCUAAUACCGGAUAGGAGCUCCUGCUGCAUGGUGGGGGUUGGAAAGUUUCGGCGGUUGGGGAUGGACUCGCGGCUUAUCAGCUUGUUGGUGGGGUAGUGGCUUACCAAGGCUUUGACGGGUAGCCGGCCUGAGAGGGUGACCGGCCACAUUGGGACUGAGAUACGGCCCAGACUCCUACGGGAGGCAGCAGUGGGGAAUAUUGCACAAUGGGCGGAAGCCUGAUGCAGCAACGCCGCGUGCGGGAUGACGGCCUUCGGGUUGUAAACCGCUUUCGCCUGUGACGAAGCGUGAGUGACGGUAAUGGGUAAAGAAGCACCGGCUAACUACGUGCCAGCAGCCGCGGUGAUACGUAGGGUGCGAGCGUUGUCCGGAUUUAUUGGGCGUAAAAAGGGCUCGUAGGUGGUUGAUCGCGUCGGAAGUGUAAUCUUGGCGCUUAACCCUGAGCGUGCUUUCGAUACGGGUUGACUUGAGGAAGGUAGGGGAGAAUGGAAUUCCUGGUGGAGCGGUGGAAUGCGCAGAUAUCAGGAGGAACACCAGUGGCGAAGGCGGUUCUCUGGGCCUUUCCUGACGCUGAGGAGCGAAAGCGUGGGGAGCGAACAGGCUUAGAUACCCUGGUAGUCCACGCUGUAAACGGUGGGUACUAGGUGUGGGGUCCAUUCCACGGGUUCCGUGCCGUAGCUAACGCUUUAAGUACCCCGCCUGGGGAGUACGGCCGCAAGGCUAAAACUCAAAGGAAUUGACGGGGCCCCGCACAAGCGGCGGAGCAUGCGGAUUAAUUCGAUGCAACGCGUAGAACCUUACCUGGGUUUGACAUGGAUCGGGAGUGCUCAGAGAUGGGUGUGCCUCUUUUGGGGUCGGUUCACAGGUGGUGCAUGGCUGUCGUCAGCUCGUGUCGUGAGAUGUUGGGUUAAGUCCCGCAACGAGCGCAACCCUUGUUCACUGUUGCCAGCACGUUAUGGUGGGGACUCAGUGGAGACCGCCGGGGUCAACUCGGAGGAAGGUGGGGAUGACGUCAAGUCAUCAUGCCCCUUAUGUCCAGGGCUUCACGCAUGCUACAAUGGCUGGUACAGAGAGUGGCGAGCCUGUGAGGGUGAGCGAAUCUCGGAAAGCCGGUCUCAGUUCGGAUUGGGGUCUGCAACUCGACCUCAUGAAGUCGGAGUCGCUAGUAAUCGCAGAUCAGCAACGCUGCGGUGAAUACGUUCCCGGG
RNAcentral lists this ribosomal RNA (1345 nucleotides) under uncultured bacterium. Its description in RNAcentral is "16S ribosomal RNA". It matches the Rfam family "Bacterial small subunit ribosomal RNA", at positions 28 to 1378 of the family's 1533-position model. The record is from RNAcentral.